GGGUAAUCUGCCCGAAGGUGGGGGACAACUCUUCGAAAGGAGAGCUAAUACCGCAUAAUAUCCCGAGGACCUCGGUCCACGGGAUCAAAGUUUGCCUCUGUUUCAUGCAAACGCCAUCGGAGGAACCCGCGCCCCAUUAGCUUGAUGGUGAGGUAACGGCUCACCAUGGCUUCGAUGGGUAGCCGGCCUGAGAGGGUGAUCGGCCACACUGGAACUGAGACACGGUCCAG
RNAcentral lists this ribosomal RNA (230 nucleotides) under uncultured bacterium. RNAcentral describes it as "partial 16S ribosomal RNA". It matches the Rfam family "Bacterial small subunit ribosomal RNA", at positions 119 to 334 of the family's 1533-position model. The record is from RNAcentral.